GCCCGGGUGGCACAAUUGGCUAGCGCGUGAGACUUUUAAUCUCAAGGUUGGGGGUUCGAGUGAGUUUCCACGUU
Non-coding RNA from Amniculicola lignicola CBS 123094, 74 nucleotides. The record is from the annotation of a GenBank genome assembly. Lineage: Eukaryota; Fungi; Ascomycota; Dothideomycetes; Pleosporales; Amniculicolaceae.